This 505-nucleotide unclassified non-coding RNA is filed under the name Hevea brasiliensis (rubber tree). The record is from RNAcentral. Lineage: Eukaryota; Viridiplantae; Streptophyta; Magnoliopsida; Malpighiales; Euphorbiaceae.
CCUCAAUUUUUAAUUGAUUGAAGAUAGCCCUUAGGCAGGCUGAGAGAAGACUUGCUUUCAUCUGUCACGAAGUUGGCCUCUUCUUUUCCUUCCUCCCUGUCUGCGCCAAUCAGAUUGUUUGAUUUGGGGAAUUGUUUUUUGGGGGGUUGCUUUCUUCGGUUCAUUUAUAUGCGCUUAGUUUCUCAAUGGAAAGUGGUGUGCCGGGGCAGCUUGUGGGCUCGGAGAUUCAUGGAUUUCAUACACUGCAAGAUUUGGAUUAUGGGAACAUAACGGAGGAAGCUAGUUCAAGAUGGCUCCGACCAAAUGAAAUUCAUGCAAUACUUUGUAACUAUAAGUAUUUCGUCAUUAAUGUCAAGCCAGUGCACUUGCCCAAAAGUGGUGUUAUUAAGUUAUUUGACCGUAAGAAGCUUAGGAACUUCCGCAAAGAUGGUCAUAAUUGGAAGAAGAAAAAAGAUGGGAAGACGGUUAAAGAAGCUCAUGAACACUUAAAAGUUGGUAAUGAAGA